UACGGGGGGGGCUAGCGUUGUUCGGAAUUACUGGGCGUAAAGGGCGCGUAGGCGGCCUACUAAGUCGGACGUGAAAUCCCUCGGCUCAACCGAGGAACUGCAUCCGAUACUGGCGGGCUUGAAUCCGGGAGAGGGAUGUGGAAUUCCAGGUGUAGCGGUGAAAUGCGUAGAUAUCUGGAGGAACACCGGUGGCGAAGGCGGCAUCCUGGACCGGCAUUGACGCUGAGGCGCGAAAGCCAGGGGAGCAAACGGG
Molecule: ribosomal RNA, 253 nt
Filed under: uncultured bacterium
Lineage: Bacteria
Description: partial 16S ribosomal RNA
Rfam family: Bacterial small subunit ribosomal RNA
Source: RNAcentral